This 1104-nucleotide long non-coding RNA is filed under the name Chrysemys picta bellii (western painted turtle). Its description in RNAcentral is "lncRNA (ENSCPBG00000003779.1)". The record is from RNAcentral. Lineage: Eukaryota; Metazoa; Chordata; Testudines; Emydidae.
GACAUGCUAGUUCGGGUACAUGAGGCAAUAUCAUGCUUUCCCGAUAUAGAGAUUUUAGUUGAAUAGAACUCCUAGUUUAGUAAUUGGUUAUAGGUCACUCUGUAUUAUUAGUGUGGUGUUCUUAAAUUUUUAUAUAAUUGACUUUCCUUAAUAUGGGUUCAAAUAAUUGGAAGUGAUGCUUAAAGGAAAUUUCUCGUUCAGAUUUUCUAUUGUGCUCAGGUUGUGAGCAGUUUGAAAUGGAUUCUUUAGGAAACUUUGUCUUCUAGCCUGACAGAUUGCAUAAGAGAUGAGACAAAAACGUAAGUUGAAAGGGAAAUGAUUCAUUGUUCUGUUAUUUAAAGAAUAUCUCAUUCUUUAUACCUUUCAUAAUCAGGAUUUCAAAAUAAGGUUCCAGAUUAUUUUCAUGCUCAAGUACAGUUUUUUGACUAACUGUAUUUGUUGAAAAGUCAGCAACAGCCCAGUAAAGGACUGAAUUUAUAUGCAGUCAUAAAUCAGCAUGCUAUUUUACAUGUUUCUGUGUGCAUUUGAGGAAAUUCAGACAGUUUUAUUAUUGAAACAUUUAAUAAUGAUACAUAAGAACGUAAGAAGUUACUGCUUUCCCAUAAAAUUAUGGGUUUAUUUCUAGUUUAGCUCUUCAUUACUGUGGGUAGAAUUGGAAAGUGUACAGUGGGAUAACUUUGGGGGAGGGGGAUUUAUUCAGUAAGGCUCUCUUGAAAUUGGAAAGAAGUUUGAAGAGCUAUUAUUGUUCUAAAUAGAUUGGGAUUAUAUUAACUGCAAUAACAAUCUCUAAAUGUAAGAAAUAUCUGGGAGAAAUGACGCUUCAAAACUUUCCAUUCUAUCAUGGCUAACUUUAAAAAGUUUUGUGAAUUGCACUGUUGACACGAACAUAAUACACAUUUCUCAUUGCUAGUUUAUUUUUAACUUAAUAUUAAAAUAAGAGAAAUCACAGAGAUGUACACAGAUAUAUACAUUAUGCUAAUUAUGAAUUUUGCAAAUAGAUGCAUGUUUAAAAUGCUAUUUCUGCACUGAUUAACUAAAUGUAAUUCUAGUGACAUAUAUACUUUUAAGAAUAAAGUAAGUAAAAUUAUAUAUUAUGGGCUGGUU